This 1364-nucleotide ribosomal RNA is filed under the name uncultured bacterium. RNAcentral's name for it is "bacterial SSU rRNA". It matches the Rfam family "Bacterial small subunit ribosomal RNA", at positions 28 to 1381 of the family's 1533-position model. The record is from RNAcentral.
AUUGAACGCUGGCGGCAGGCCUAACACAUGCAAGUCGAACGGUAACAGGAAGCAGCUUGCUGCUUUGCUGACGAGUGGCGGACGGGUGAGUAAUGUCUGGGGAUCUGCCCGAUGGAGGGGGAUAACCACUGGAAACGGUGGCUAAUACCGCAUAACGUCGCAAGACCAAAGUGGGGGACCUUCGGGCCUCACACCAUCGGAUGAACCCAGAUGGGAUUAGCUAGUAGGUGGGGUAACGGCUCACCUAGGCGACGAUCCCUAGCUGGUCUGAGAGGAUGACCAGCCACACUGGAACUGAGACACGGUCCAGACUCCUACGGGAGGCAGCAGUGGGGAAUAUUGCACAAUGGGCGCAAGCCUGAUGCAGCCAUGCCGCGUGUAUGAAGAAGGCCUUCGGGUUGUAAAGUACUUUCAGCGGGGAGGAAGGGAUGGUGCUUAAUACGCACCGUCAUUGACGUUACCCGCAGAAGAAGCACCGGCUAACUCCGUGCCAGCAGCCGCGGUAAUACGGAGGGUGCAAGCGUUAAUCGGAAUUACUGGGCGUAAAGCGCACGCAGGCGGUCUGUUAAGUCAGAUGUGAAAUCCCCGGGCUUAACCUGGGAACUGCAUUUGAAACUGGCAGGCUUGAGUCUCGUAGAGGGGGGUAGAAUUCCAGGUGUAGCGGUGAAAUGCGUAGAGAUCUGGAGGAAUACCGGUGGCGAAGGCGGCCCCCUGGACGAAGACUGACGCUCAGGUGCGAAAGCGUGGGGAGCAAACAGGAUUAGAUACCCUGGUAGUCCACGCCGUAAACGAUGUCGACUUGGAGGCUGUUUCCUUGAGAAGUGGCUUCCGGAGCUAACGCGUUAAGUCGACCGCCUGGGGAGUACGGCCGCAAGGUUAAAACUCAAAUGAAUUGACGGGGGCCCGCACAAGCGGUGGAGCAUGUGGUUUAAUUCGAUGCAACGCGAAGAACCUUACCUGGUCUUGACAUCCACGGAAUUCGGCAGAGAUGCCUUAGUGCCUUCGGGAACCGUGAGACAGGUGCUGCAUGGCUGUCGUCAGCUCGUGUUGUGAAAUGUUGGGUUAAGUCCCGCAACGAGCGCAACCCUUAUCCUUUGUUGCCAGCGCGUAAUGGCGGGAACUCAAAGGAGACUGCCGGUGAUAAACCGGAGGAAGGUGGGGAUGACGUCAAGUCAUCAUGGCCCUUACGACCAGGGCUACACACGUGCUACAAUGGCGCAUACAAAGAGAAGCGACCUCGCGAGAGCAAGCGGACCUCAUAAAGUGCGUCGUAGUCCGGAUUGGAGUCUGCAACUCGACUCCAUGAAGUCGGAAUCGCUAGUAAUCGUGGAUCAGAAUGCCACGGUGAAUACGUUCCCGGGCCU